CAGUUCGGCCGCGGCAUUCCGUGUCGAGUCGUUCGCCAUUUCCCCGGUCAAUGAAACACGGACGUCGCGACCUGUUCGUCGUCGGUCGAGGAGUCGCGAUCGAGUUCGUUGUAUUCGGGCGUUUACGCGUCCGGUGCGGCGAAGUCGCGAAUCUCCGGCCGACCGGCGGACAGUAUGCCAACAGUGACCGGGUGCUGCUUCGCGGUACUCGGUGCUGGUCGGCGACGAAUUCUUCGGGUCUCUUUCCGACCCGUCUUGAAACACGGACCAAGGAGUCUAACGUGCGCGCGAGUCGCGGGGUGUCGAGCGUACUUCGGUGCGCUCGUUACAACGCGAAACCCGUAUACGUUGAAGGCGUAAUGAAAGUGAACGGGGAAGAUGACGUCUCGAGUACACGUUCCACGGUCGUUGGUACUGUGGCCGAGCGUCCGCAUUCCCGGGGCAUCUCAUCAGUCCAUCGCGAACGCGGAUAGUCGUCUUUCGGGGCGGCUGUCGGUUUGCGAUGAACCGAGGUGCACCUAUAGCGUGCGCGCUGGUACCCGAAAGAUGGUGAACUAUGCCCGGCCAGGAUGAAGUCAGGGGAAACCCUGAUGGAGGUCCG
RNAcentral lists this ribosomal RNA (601 nucleotides) under Halimococcidae environmental sample. RNAcentral describes it as "eukaryotic LSU rRNA". It matches the Rfam family "Eukaryotic large subunit ribosomal RNA", at positions 598 to 877 of the family's 3401-position model. The record is from RNAcentral. Lineage: Eukaryota; Metazoa; Arthropoda; Insecta; Hemiptera; Halimococcidae.